UACGGAGGGUGCAAGCGUUAUCCGGAAUCACUGGGUUUAAAGGGUGCGUAGGCGGUCAGAUAAGUCAGUUGUGAAAUACCCCGGCUUAACCGGCGGAACUGCGAUUGAUACUGUUUGACUUGAAUCAGGUUGAGGUAGGCGGAAUGUGGCAUGUAGCGGUGAAAUGCUUAGAUAUGCCAUAGAACACCGAUUGCGAAGGCAGCUUGCUGGACCUGUAUUGACGCUGAGGCACGAAAGCGUGGGGAUCAAACAGG
Molecule: ribosomal RNA, 254 nt
Filed under: uncultured bacterium
Lineage: Bacteria
Description: partial 16S ribosomal RNA
Rfam family: Bacterial small subunit ribosomal RNA
Source: RNAcentral